GCCUGUUCGAGCGUCAUUAUACCCCUCAAGCCUAGCUUGGUGUUGGGGCCUGCCUACGGGCAGCCCUUAAAAACAGUGGCGGUGCAACGAGCUCUAAGCGUAGUAAGACCUUUCGCUAUAGUGCCCUGUGGACGCUAGCCAUCAACCCCUAAUUUUCUAUGGUUGACCUCGGAUCAGGUAGGGAUACCCGCUGAACUUAA
RNAcentral lists this unclassified non-coding RNA (200 nucleotides) under soil metagenome. Its description in RNAcentral is "partial contains internal transcribed spacer 2 and large subunit ribosomal RNA". The record is from RNAcentral.